CGGGGAGGUAGUGACGAAAAAUAACGAUACGGGACUCAUCCGAGGCCCCGUAAUCGGAAUGAGUACACUUUAAAUCCUUUAACGAGGACCAAUUGGAGGGCAAGUCUGGUGCCAGCAGCCGCGGUAAUUCCAGCUCCAAUAGCGUAUAUUAAAGUUGUUGCGGUUAAAAAGCUCGUAGUUGAAUCUGUGUGUCACAGUGUCGGUUCAUCGCUCGCGGUGUUUAACUGGCAUUAUGUGGUACGUCCUACCGGUGGGCUUAGCUCCUCGCGGGCGGUCCAACUAAUAUCCCAUCGCGGUGCUCUUCGCUGAGUGUCGAGGUGGGCCGGUACGUUUACUUUGAACAAAUUAGAGUGCUCAAAGCAGGCUACCUUCGCCUGAAUACUCUGUGCAUGGAAUAAUGGAAUAGGACCUCGGUUCUAUUUUGUUGGUUUUCGGAACCCCGAGGUAAUGAUUAAUAGGGACAGAUGGGGGCAUUCGUAUUGCGACGUUAGAGGUGAAAUUCUUGGAUCGUCGCAAGACGGACAGAAGCGAAAGCAUUUGCCAAAAAUGUUUUCAUUAAUCAAGAACGAAAGUUAGAGGUUCGAAGGCGAUCAGAUACCGCCCUAGUUCUAACCAUAAACGAUGCCAGCUAGCGAUCCGCCGAAGUUCCUCCGAUGACUCGGCGGGCAGCUUCCGGGAAACCAAAGCUUUUGGGUUCCGGGGGAAGUAUGGUUGCAAAGCUGAAACUUAAAGGAAUUGACGGAAGGGCACCACCAGGAGUGGAGCCUGCGGCUUAAUUUGACUC
This 784-nucleotide ribosomal RNA is filed under the name Ammobatoides luctuosus. RNAcentral describes it as "SSU rRNA". It matches the Rfam family "Eukaryotic small subunit ribosomal RNA", at positions 457 to 1201 of the family's 1831-position model. Lineage: Eukaryota; Metazoa; Arthropoda; Insecta; Hymenoptera; Apidae. The record is from RNAcentral.